UCAGUAACACGUGGAUAACCUGCCCUUGGGACCGGCAUAACCCCGGGAAACUGGGGAUAAUUCCGGAUAACGCAUAUUUGCUGGAAUGCUUUAUGCGUCAAAAGGAUUCGUCUGCCCAAGGAUGGGUCUGCGGCCUAUCAGGUAGUAGUGGGUGUAAUGUACCUACUAGCCAGCGACGGGUACGGGUUGUGAGAGCAAGAGCCCGGAGAUGGAUUCUGAGACAUGAAUCCAGGCCCUACGGGGCGCAGCAGGCGCGAAAACUUUACAAUGCGGGAAACCGUGAUAAGGGGACACCGAGUGCCAGCAUCAUAUGCUGGCUGUCCGGAUGUGUAAAAUACAUCCGUUAGCAAGGGCCGGGCAAGACCGGUGCCAGCCGCCGCGGUAACACCGGCGGCCCGAGUGGUGAUCGUGAUUAUUGGGUCUAAAGGGUCCGUAGCCGGUUUGGUCAGUCCUCCGGGAAAUCUGAUAGCUCAACUAUUAGGCUUUCGGGGGAUACUGCCAGACUUGGAACCGGGAGAGGUAAGAGGUACUACAGGGGUAGGAGUGAAAUCUUGUAAUCCCUGUGGGACCACCUGUGGCGAAGGCGUCUUACCAGAACGGGUUCGACGGUGAGGGACGAAAGCUGGGGGCACGAACCGGAUUAGAUACCCGGGUAGUCCCAGCCGUAAACGAUGCUCGCUAGGUGUCAGGCAUGGCGCGACCGUGUCUGGUGCC
RNAcentral lists this ribosomal RNA (714 nucleotides) under uncultured methanogenic archaeon. RNAcentral describes it as "bacterial SSU rRNA". It matches the Rfam family "Archaeal small subunit ribosomal RNA", at positions 90 to 802 of the family's 1478-position model. The record is from RNAcentral. Lineage: Archaea; Methanobacteriati; Methanobacteriota.